UUGAAGCCCGAGGGUGUGCACUGCAAUGGAAAGGAAGAAGUGGAGAAACAAUAGAGAAUUUGGAAUCAUUUCUUCUGGUAUCUAUGGCCUCUGCUUCUGCUGGGCUUUAGAGUUUCGAUUCGAAGAGUCGCUUGCCUUUUCAUUUUUGUUUUCCUCUUUAUUACCCAACUUUUCUCAAAAUUGUAAUGGCGGGGAGUGAUCUUAGU
This is a long non-coding RNA of Juglans microcarpa x Juglans regia, 206 nucleotides long. RefSeq lists it as uncharacterized. The record is from RefSeq and is a predicted model, not a curated record. Lineage: Eukaryota; Viridiplantae; Streptophyta; Magnoliopsida; Fagales; Juglandaceae. The transcript is spliced from 3 exons.